Molecule: long non-coding RNA, 344 nt
Organism: Alosa sapidissima (American shad)
Lineage: Eukaryota; Metazoa; Chordata; Actinopteri; Clupeiformes; Clupeidae
Exons: 3
Source: RefSeq, a predicted model, not a curated record
CAACAACAGGGGUGACAAGACCAAGCCCCAAUAGGAAACGACAACUCUCAACCGAACCAGUGGAAGCGGCGGAUACUCAAAGUAUUGCUGAACACUUGAAAGCCAUCACUGAAGAGCUACACAAAAGCAGGCCAAAUUUCAAGAACAUCAAGUGGAGGAUGGAAAGGACUCUGCAUGCACGAACUCCACUCUAUAAGACCUCUACAGCUGCAGAGCUAUUCCAGCAGUGUCCAUUCCUAAAAGUCCCUUGUCUGCUACUUUACGAAAUGAAGCUAAGAUUUGGCCAGGACUUGGACUUGGUGCUUAGCAGUUACCUGCAUAAUGCUGCUGAGAAGAUAGUUGAG